UCAGUCGGCUGGACGGCCGCUCCCGCUAUGGUCGAAAGGCUGCGGGAGAGGAAAGUCCGGGCUCCAUCGACAUACGGUGCCGGAUAACGUCCGGCGGGGGUGACCCCAGGGAAAGUGCCACAGAGAACGAACCGCCCUCCUACGUCCCUUCGGGACUUCGGCGCGACAGGCCUUCGGGCUCGCCACGCCGUAGCAGCGCAAGCUGCGAAGGCGGGUAAGGGUGAAAAGGUGCGGUAAGAGCGCACCGCGUAUCCGGCAACGGAAACGGCAUGGCAAACCACACCGGGAGCAAAACCGAAUAGGGACGGCAAAGCAGUCAGUUCGCUCACCUUGAGCGAUAACACUGCGGGGCAAUGUCUUGCUCGCUGUCCGGGUAGGUUGCUUGAGGCCAUAGGCAACUAUGGUCCCAGAGGAAUGGCCGUCACGUAUCGCCGGUGCAAAUCGGCGAUGCCCUACAGAACCCGGCUUACAGGCCGGCUGAUAAC
RNAcentral lists this RNase P RNA (485 nucleotides) under Tardiphaga sp. RNAcentral's name for it is "RNase P RNA component class A". It matches the Rfam family "Bacterial RNase P class A". From Rfam's summary of the family: Ribonuclease P (RNase P) is a ubiquitous endoribonuclease, found in archaea, bacteria and eukarya as well as chloroplasts and mitochondria. Its best characterised activity is the generation of mature 5'-ends of tRNAs by cleaving the 5'-leader elements of precursor-tRNAs. Cellular RNase Ps are ribonucleoproteins. Lineage: Bacteria; Pseudomonadati; Pseudomonadota; Alphaproteobacteria; Hyphomicrobiales; Nitrobacteraceae. The record is from RNAcentral. RNAcentral also lists the same sequence under 7 other names.